Long non-coding RNA from Panicum virgatum (switchgrass), 1313 nucleotides. RefSeq lists it as uncharacterized. NCBI's taxonomy places the organism in Eukaryota, Viridiplantae, Streptophyta, Magnoliopsida, Poales, Poaceae. The record is from RefSeq and is a predicted model, not a curated record. The transcript is spliced from 2 exons.
UAUUUCAAUCAUUCAACCCCAACAACUGUGGUUGUACGCCGGGCCGGCAACACCAUUAUUUUGCCGUUGCGUGUAUGCCACCUAUUUCGGCACUGCUUUAGUAAUUGGAUUUUGAUCCGGAGCCAAAAUUUUGCUUAUUGUUUUAAGUUUUGCUCCUUGUCAAUUGAUUGAUUUUCCACUUAUCUGUCAAUCAUCUCGCUGGCGCGUCCGAUUGCAAAUGGAUGGGCGAGAUAGCUUUCUGUGCAAAGUAUCCUACCGGGUCCGCUUCUGGUAUGUUUUCACGCCCGUUAACGCUUAGCGGGUCGGGUUCAAUUUUGGUCGAGACUCCAUUUCAACUUUGUGUUUUCAUGACCCUUCUCCUCCUCCUCUACCGUUUGUUUGAUUUCUGGCGAUUUUUGUUCCCCUCCUCACCAAAUCGAGGGUACUGAGGCUCGAGGGACAGCGAAUUGGUGCUGGAAGUGUGCUCCUCGUCGGCAGCCGCAACACCAGGGAUACAGCUUUUUAGUUGUACCAUGAUUAGAAGGGAACAAAAGUUUAUCAUGGCUGCUAGAAGGUUUAUGUGGGUGCCCACAUAGAGCACACUUUUUUUCCCUUGAUGCUGACCCUCUAUACCAUGGAAGCAAUAAAUUUGUCGACUAUUCCAACUACCUUUGAAUGAAGUAGUGGCUCCCUGUCCCUCACUCCCUAUGUCCCUUUUUCUCCUCUCCAUAUUUCUCCAGCCAGAUCAAUCUCUCUGUUUGUGUCUGUUGUUAAUCAAUAUUUUUUGUCCUCAAUUUGAUAUUUUAGAUAAAUGUAUCUUAGAUAAAUUAGAUACAAGACUAGUUUAAAAACUAAAUCACUAAUGGUUUAUUAGAUUUUACACCAAUAUGUAGCAUGUAAUUUUUUUGUCAUAUAAUUUCAUGUAUAAAUAUGCAUGUUGUUGUAUUGCUAUCAUUUCCUAUAUCUUUUUGGAGCAAAAACUUGCUUAUAGUAUGAAGAAAUUGCGAUAGAUUUAUUUUCUAAUUGCUGCCAUUUUAAUUUCUUCUAAUGAAACAGGUGACCAUAUUUUGGGCAUGGUCUCCUGUUAUUUCUGGGCCAUCGAGUUCAAGUGGACACAACUCUUGCAAAAUUCGGGAUCAGCAGUGUCAUCAACAUCCAUGCGCAAUAUAUGAUGCAACAUUUUGUAGUCAUUUUCUAUGAAAUAUUAGGUAUAUAUGUUGCAUGUUUUGAAUGUGUGAAAUGGGUGUAAAUUUUGAAUAGUCAGUGAGCUGGCUAUUUCUUUUUUUCAAUAUUUGAACAUCAGUAACUUUAAUCAACAGCUUCUGCCAUUUUUA